Cyanistes caeruleus (blue tit) is the source of this 1354-nucleotide non-coding RNA. The record is from RefSeq and is a predicted model, not a curated record. Lineage: Eukaryota; Metazoa; Chordata; Aves; Passeriformes; Paridae.
GAGUAAAAGAGUUGUGGAGGAACUGUCACUUGAUAGGAGGAAGAUUGGCUCCCAUAUUUCUACCCCUUGUCUUGGAAGGUCAGCUUUCCAACCCUGCAGACCUUAGCUGCUCUGAUGGGCUUUCAUAUGUAUACUCAAAAGAAAAAUGAUGAGAACACAGUGAGACAGCUGUGAAGUAUAAUAAAAGUGAAAAGAAUAUACAUUUUUAUGAACUUUCCUGAACUAAUUCCUUUUGCCAGACCACUCCAGACAGGAAGAGGCUGACACAGUGGUGAUCUGCAUCUGCAGCUUCUGAGAGGAAAAAAAAAUCUUCCUUGGCAAGUGGAGCUAGAAACCCAGAAAAUGAAGGAUUAAUACGUUCAUUUAUACAGGAGCAGUGAGAACACAAUAACAUGAAAUACAACCAAGGAGGAUGCAUUUAAAAGACAAAAGAGCCCUGGAAGGGACGGUACUUAGCUUUGUUCAGAAUGCGAACUCUAACAUGCAGUUCUGGGAAUUGGUGAAUUGCACAGCUUAAUGUUAAAAGAAAUUACUUCAUACCACAAGAAAUACACGAUCUGUGCCUUGAAAACCUGAAGGUACUUUCCUUUCUCUUUCUGCCAGGAGAGGAGUGGAACACUGGAUCUGCUUGAAAUUGAGAAAGGACAGAUCGUUAAGAAAACAGGACCGCUACAUUAUUGGAACCUUCAAACAGAUCCCCCUGCCUGCCUCCUUUGGAAGAGAUGCAGACUGAGCCUGAGACAUAUGGAGGCUUUGGUAAAGGGCUUUAAAAUGCUUCCUCACCCCCAGCUGAGUAUUGGUAGCUACUUCAGAGUUGUGAAAAGAGAAGAUAUCCUUAGCUGUCUGUGCAGAGCAUUUUCAGAUUAAGAAGUCAGCAAGCACUGAAAUUCACUGAAAGGGAAACUUCUCUGUAAGGUGUGUUCAGGCUCAAAAGAGGAGCAACAGUCAUGAGCCUUGAUAGUGCAAAGUUCUCUACAGUCACAGGACGAAAGGCUGCUAUUGCAGGAUUGGAAUUAUUUUUUCAGAGAAGCAGACAUUAUUUGAACAAGAUUCUGGAUUCUGAAUUUCACAAAGAAGGUGCAAGGCUAUGAUUUUUUCUUCAAGUUUCAUCAAAUUUUUCUGCAUAAGAUGAAUGAAUGAAUAAGUUACUAACUAACUAACUGAAGACGCCCUCAUCAAGCAGCUUUUACUGGCUGAACCAAGUGUCCUAUGGCCUUCAUCAAGCUGCGCUCUCUCUGAGGUAACCAGAUUUUUCAUCCCAUUGAUAUGUUUUCCAAUUGAAACAGAGAAUCAGUCAGCAAGGAAGGCAUCCUAGAACCUUUCUAGGACCAUGCUAGGAGCCUAAAUCUCAAAA